RNAcentral lists this ribosomal RNA (499 nucleotides) under uncultured Glomeromycotina. RNAcentral's name for it is "partial small subunit ribosomal RNA". It matches the Rfam family "Eukaryotic small subunit ribosomal RNA", at positions 591 to 1092 of the family's 1831-position model. The record is from RNAcentral. Lineage: Eukaryota; Fungi; Glomeromycota.
CCAAUAGCGUAUAUUAAAGUUGUUGCAGUUAAAAAGCUCGUAGUUGAAUUUCGGAACCAAUAUGUUGGUUGUGCCUCGGUACGUACUGGCAUUGUUGGUUUCUCCCUUCUGACGAACUAUGAUGUCAUUAAUUUGGUGUCAUGGGGAAUCAGGACUGUUACUUUGAAAAAAUUAGAGUGUUUAAAGCAGGCUCACGCUUGAAUACAUUAGCAUGGAAUAAUGAAAUAGGACGUUUGAUUCUAUUUUGUUGGUUUCUAGGAUUGACGUAAUGAUUAAUAGGGAUAGUUGGGGGCAUUAGUAUUCAAUUGUCAGAGGUGAAAUUCUUGGAUUUAUUGAAGACUAACUACUGCGAAAGCAUUUGCCAAGGAUGUUUUCAUUAAUCAAGAACGAAAGUUAGGGGAUCGAAGACGAUCAGAUACCGUCGUAGUCUUAACCAUAAACUAUGCCGACUAGGGAUCGGAUGAUGUUAAUUUUUUAAUGACUCAUUCGGCGCCUUACG